UGGGGACGGGGUGCAGCAGGCGCGAAAACUUUACAAUGCGGGAAACCGUGAUAAGGGGACACCGAGUGCCAGCGUCAUACGCUGGCUGUCCAGGUGUGUAAAAUACACCUGUUAGCAAGGGCCGGGCAAGACCGGUGCCAGCCGCCGCGGUAACACCGGCGGCCCGAGUGGUGAUCGUGAUUAUUGGGUCUAAAGGGUCCGUAGCCGGUUUGGUCAGUCCUCCGGGAAAUCUGACAGCUCAACUGUUAGGCUUUCGGGGGAUACUGCCAGACUUGGAACCGGGAGAGGUAAGAGGUACUACAGGGGUAGGAGUGAAAUCUUGUAAUCCUUGUGGGACCACCUGUGGCGAAGGCGUCUUACCAGAACGGGUUCGACGGUGAGGGACGAAAAGCUGGGGGCACGAACCGGAUUAGAUACCCGGGUAGUCCCCAGCCGUAAACGAUGCUCGCUAGGUGCCAGGCAUGGCGCGACCGUGUCUGGUGCCGCAGGGAAGCCGUGAAGCGAGCCACCUGGGAAGUACGGGCCGCACGGCUGAAACUAAAGGAAUUGGCGGGGGAGCACAACAACGGGUGGAGCCUGCGGUUUAAUUGGACUCAACGCCGGACAACUUCCCCGGGGACGACAGCAAAAUGUAGGCCAGGCUGAAGACCUUGCCUGAAUCGCUGAGAGGAGGUGCAUGGCCGUCGCCAGUUCGUACUGUGAAGCAUCCUGUUAAGUCAGGCAACGAGCGAGACCCGUGCCCACUGUUACCAGCAUAUCCUCCGGGAUGAUGGGUACUCUGUGGGGACCGCCGGUGUUAAAUCGGAGGAAGGUGCGGGCCACGGUAGGUCAGUAUGCCCCGAAUUUCCCGGGCUACACGCGGGCUACAAUGAAUGGGACAAUGGGUCCCUCCCCUGAAAAGGGCUGGUAAUCUCACAAACCCAUCCUUAGUUCGGAUCGAGGGCUGUAACUCGCCCUCGUGAAGCUGGAAUCCGUAGUAAUCGCGUUUCAAUAUAGCGCGGUGAAUACGUCCCUGCUCCUUGCACGAAUUCGCCGA
RNAcentral lists this ribosomal RNA (1036 nucleotides) under uncultured Methanosarcina sp. Its description in RNAcentral is "bacterial SSU rRNA". It matches the Rfam family "Archaeal small subunit ribosomal RNA", at positions 315 to 1353 of the family's 1478-position model. The record is from RNAcentral. Lineage: Archaea; Methanobacteriati; Methanobacteriota; Methanomicrobia; Methanosarcinales; Methanosarcinaceae.